GAUAACUACUCGGUAAACGGUAGCUAAUACCGCAUAACGUCGCAAGACCAAAGAGGGGGACCUUCGGGCCUCUUGCCAUCGCGAUGUGCCCACGCAUGGGAUUAGCUAGUAGGUGGGGUAGACGGCUCACCUAGGCUGACGUAUCCCUAGCUGGUCUGAGAGGAUGACCAGCCACACUGGAACUGAGACACUGGUCCAGACUCCUACGGGUAGGCAGCAGUGGGGAAUAUUGCACAAUGGGCGCAAGCCUGAUGCACGCCAUGCCGCGUGCUAUGAAGAAGGCCUUCGGGUUGUAAGAGUACUUUCAGCGGGGAGGAAGGGAGUAAAGUUAAUACCUUUACUCAUUGACGUUACCCGCAGAAGAAGCACCGGCUAACUCCGUGCCAGCAGCCGCGGUAAUACGGAGGGUGCAAGCGUUAAUCGGAAUUACUGGGCGUAAAGCGCACGCAGGCGGUUUGUUAAGUCAGAUGUGAAAUCCCCGGGCUCAACCUGGGAACUGCAUCUGAUACUGGCNAGCUUGAGUCUCGUACAGGGGGGUAGAAUUCCAGGUGUAGCGGUGAAAUGCGUACAGAUCUGGAGGAAUACCGGUGGCGAAGCGGCCCCUGGACGAAGACUGACGCUCUAGUGUCGAAAGCGUGGGGAGCAAACAGGAUUACGAUACCCUGGUUUUCCACGCCGUA
Molecule: ribosomal RNA, 680 nt
Filed under: Escherichia sp. C40
Lineage: Bacteria; Pseudomonadati; Pseudomonadota; Gammaproteobacteria; Enterobacterales; Enterobacteriaceae
Description: bacterial SSU rRNA
Rfam family: Bacterial small subunit ribosomal RNA
Source: RNAcentral